GGACCACCACCCGCCACCGCCGCGCGAGCGUACUAUUGCGGCCGCCCUCUGCUGCGCCUGAAGAGAGAGGCGACUCUACAAGCCUCACAGCAUGCACUGUUACUAAAAAGACGAUGCGUCCUCCUGGACCUGAGAUCUGUGUGAUCGUGGGAAAGCGACGAAAAACGAACAAAGGAACAGUAAAUGGAGUAACUUGGCUAGAAUAUGGCAGUAACUACAAGGCAUGUUCUGCUCUGGCACGAAGUCUCGCUCUGUCACCCAGGCUGGAGUGCAAUGGCACGAUCUUGGCUCACUGCAACCUCUGCCUCCCAGGUUCAAGCGAUUCUUCUGCC
Molecule: long non-coding RNA, 332 nt
Organism: Homo sapiens (human)
Lineage: Eukaryota; Metazoa; Chordata; Mammalia; Primates; Hominidae
Source: Ensembl